Molecule: unclassified non-coding RNA, 323 nt
Filed under: uncultured fungus
Lineage: Eukaryota; Fungi
Description: partial contains 5.8S rRNA and ITS2
Source: RNAcentral
CAAAUUGCGCUCGAGGCUUCGGCCAAGAGCAUGUCUGCCUCAGCGUCAGGCUAAUACUCACAUUUACACUUCAUCCAGAGUGCCCUUGGGGGUCUGGCUGUCUCGGUUUAUUUUAUUUAAUUAACCGGGUCAGCUGAAGUGCAGAUGUCAAGGCAUGGAUGGUUAGAUCGGGCCUCUACUGGGUAUGCAACUUGUUUGCUGUUUUGCUUUAGUAGAUGGCUUGGGUACUGUCUUUGGCACGAAGCAGGAGUAUCUGUUCAUACAGGUACAACCAAUACCAUUUUCUCGACCUGAGCUCAGGCAAGAUUACCCGCUGAACUUAA